GACAGAGGGGGCAAGCGUUGCUCGGAAUCACUGGGCGUAAAGGGCGCGUAGGCGGGAUGGCAAGUCAGUCGUGAAAUCUCUCGGCUCAACCGAGAAACGUCGGCUGAUACUGCCGUUCUUGAGGGAUGCAGAGGAGACUGGAAUUCCCGGUGUAGCGGUGAAAUGUGUAGAGAUCGGGAGGAACACCGGUGGCGAAGGCGGGUCUCUGGGCAUCUCCUGACGCUGAGGCGCGAAAGCGUGGGGGGCAAACGGG
Molecule: ribosomal RNA, 253 nt
Filed under: uncultured bacterium
Lineage: Bacteria
Description: partial 16S ribosomal RNA
Rfam family: Bacterial small subunit ribosomal RNA
Source: RNAcentral